Molecule: long non-coding RNA, 1012 nt
Filed under: Sinocyclocheilus grahami
Lineage: Eukaryota; Metazoa; Chordata; Actinopteri; Cypriniformes; Cyprinidae
Description: lncRNA (ENSSGRG00000054640.1)
Source: RNAcentral
UGUGUACGACCAUGAGAACACGACAUAAUUACAGCCCAUAGAUGAACCUUAUAUAAGAGCGGAGGAAGAACACGGCCACAUUGUGCGUAUCUGUUGGCUUGGUCGCAGUUUGAAGCAAAUCUCAUUCUCUGUGGUAUCUUUUCUGAUUACAGUUUUCUCUCCAUCAUGAAGUGGAUGAUCAUAAGAUUCUGCAUGUUGGCUCUGCUGGUCUCCCAGGCUCAGACUAAAGGGACAACUGACUUGGCAACAACUGAUGAUGCUUCAGUUACAAGAACAAAUCCAACAACCGUAAAGACUUCAACUAAAACUACAGCUCAACCCACUGUUCCAGCAAUUGGUACUACUUCACCCAUAAUAACGAGCAUAAAUACUUCAGAUACAACUCAAGCCCCUGUGACAACUCAAUCAGAUCAGCCAACCACAACGGCUCCAUCUUCAAAGCCCACCAUGAUUCAAACAACUGAAUUUCCAAGCAACAUGACUGAUAUGACCACGAUGACAAAUUCCUCAACGCCAGUGAAUGCCACCAUGACAACAGUAGGACAGACCUCAAUUUGGACGACUACGUCAUCCAGCGACUCACUGACAGUUACCAUCAUCAGCUAUACUCUAUCCGUCCUGCUGUACAUGAUGUUGAAUUGAGCAUUAUUUGAUUCAGCACCCUGGAUUAAAGCUAAGCUUGUUUUGGAAAGUACUGUAGUACAGUAUAAUAGAAUAUAAGUAAUAUAUAAAGGUAAAGUAUAGACUAUAUGUAUAUACUUUAUAUAUAAAUUGUUAAUGAGUAUAUAAAUUACUAUUACAUUUACAGUAGCAUAAGCCAAAACUGAACAACAGAUUAUAGUUUUAUUGACUGAAUGUUUGUUAUGGUUGCACAAACCUGCUUGAUGCAUCACAAAUGAGGACUGCCUAAAAAAGCACCUAAGAUUUCAAAUGAAAAAUGUAUAGUUUAAAAUAAUGUCUGAAAUAAAGCAAAGGAUCUGUUGAUUGUAUGUAUUUCUUUCAUAGUUAAGCG